RNAcentral lists this transfer RNA (66 nucleotides) under Aphelocheirus jendeki. RNAcentral's name for it is "tRNA-Tyr". The record is from RNAcentral. Lineage: Eukaryota; Metazoa; Arthropoda; Insecta; Hemiptera; Aphelocheiridae.
GAUAAGGUGGCUGAAUUUUUAGGCUGUAAAUUGUAAAUUUAUAUAUGAUAUAAUUAUCUCUUAUCA